UAAGAACCUGUACUGGGGUGGUAGCAGUGAGAAUGGAGACGUGUACUGACACAAGGCUGUUGGGGAGGUGGAAUCGACAAUGCUAGGUGUGACUUAGGUGGAUUGCAUGGAUAUGAGGUGGCAUGUCACCCCAGCCACCAGCCCUGUGGUCUAAUCAACCUUGGAGCGAGAGUAACAGACUUGUAUGUGCAUGUAUAAACAUUCCAACCCCAUCAAGAUACAUGGCUUCAAAGAGUUGGAAAAAGAGAAAUCCUUACAGAUUGGAUUUUGGAUGAAUCCACAAGUAGGUUAAGGGAUAUGGCUCAAGAUUAUUAAAAUGUGAAAAUCUGUAUGGCUUACCUCUAUUUUGCUUGGUUGGAAAAUUUCCUCAUUCAGUUUGGAAUCUCUGUAUUGUUUUUUCCCCAUAGAAAACCAGCUUUUCUGUGGCCAUCUGGUUUAUUAUACAGUAAACUAAA
Long non-coding RNA from Vombatus ursinus (common wombat), 455 nucleotides. RefSeq lists it as uncharacterized. NCBI's taxonomy places the organism in Eukaryota, Metazoa, Chordata, Mammalia, Diprotodontia, Vombatidae. The transcript is spliced from 3 exons. The record is from RefSeq and is a predicted model, not a curated record.